Xiphophorus maculatus (southern platyfish) is the source of this 1893-nucleotide long non-coding RNA. RefSeq lists it as uncharacterized. NCBI's taxonomy places the organism in Eukaryota, Metazoa, Chordata, Actinopteri, Cyprinodontiformes, Poeciliidae. The record is from RefSeq and is a predicted model, not a curated record. The transcript has 5 exons.
GCCCUGCUGACACUCCAUAUGAGAAAGGAACAUUUGAGCUUUAUUGUCAGUUUGGCACUGAAUACCCAGUGAAGCCUCCAACAGUUCGCUUUGUGACUCCAAUAUAUCACUGCAACAUCAACAACGUGGGGCGAAUCUGCCACAAUAUUCUUGAUCGGAACUACAAUUCUCUAAUCACCAUGAGAGAAAUUCUUGAAGCUGUGUUCGGACUGCUGAUGCAUCCUGAACCAGAGGAUCCACUGGACAGCAUUCUGGCAGAGGAAUACAUAACCAAUAAGGAAUCAUAUGAUCAAGAAGCCAGAAAAAAAACUGAAGAAGCUGCAGCAGAAUCAUUGGAGUCUAAGGAGAAGAAAUUAGUGGAGCAAGAGAAACCAUACAUACCUCCACUUCUCAUCUGUCCACUGAGCAAGAAGAUGUUCACUGAUCCAGUGAAAACAAAUCGCGGAGCAGUGUAUGAACGAAGAGCCAUUGAAAAACAUCUGAAAAAGUGCAAGUGGGAUCCAUUUAUUGAACCAAAGGUUCUUCUUAGAAGAACUGAUCUAAAGCCAGACCAAGAAAUGAAGUCCAGGGUGAAAGCACAUCGUACAAGACAACUUGAGACCUACGUUUAACCAAACAACUUCAAUCACAUCACUGCAGUCCCUGUGUAUACUUUAACAUAGAUUCUCACCUUUCUGUGAGUAGAAUAUCUUCUUGUCUUUCAAACAAGAAGACUAUUAAGGUUACAUAAGUCAAUGACAUAAGCAUCACAAUCACUGGCUUAUGUUUUGUCUCAUUAUUGUAUGUUAAGGCAAUAAACAGUUAAGACCAAAAUCAUUCACACAUCUAUGAUAUGGAUUUAAAUUAAUUUAAUUUAAACAAGAAGAUAGUUUGAGUUGGGAUAGGAAAUGAGACAGACCUCUCCCAAAAGACAAUAAACCAAAGUAAAAUUAGCCUUUAUAUUGAAAAAAUCUGUUUGGUUUUCUUUGCAUCUUAUUUAGAAAAUGACAUGCCAGAAAUGUGUGCUAUUAAUCAGUGGAAAAAUCUUCAUUGUCAUUUCAGAAAUCAAAAAGCGUUUUGCCUGUUUCCUCUGGUUUUAUGUUUAUAUUUGGUGAUAAUCUUCGAGUCUUUGAAAGCCUCUUGGCUUCUGCUCCAUCCACAAAUUCAACAACUGUAUUACUGUAUAACUAACAACCAGAUUAUUUUCAAUUGUAAUGUGUGUCAAUAAUUUUUUAAAUGUAUAAGGGAAAUAUUGUUAAGAACUGUUAACAACUAGUAAGUGAGAAUUUAUUUCUAUUGGAUAUCUAAUCAGUGUUUUGUUUCAUUUAAAAAUCUUUUUCCAGAAAUGGCACAACUUUUAGACAUUGUUUAGGAAAAAUCUUUUUUAUUUUCGGGAGUGAGCGAAACACUGAAUCAAUCAGAGAAAUGCGCAUUUGUCUUUAGACAUUUUAUUUAGAAAUUCAGAAUAAGUAUCAGAGAUCAGCGUGUGAGAAAAGAAAAGCAAGAGAGAAGUGAAACUUAAAACAUAUAAUUCUCCUUUUAUAUCUUAUCAGUCUCAUACACGGUGCCUUCCACUCAUCUCUCUCCUGUAGGGAGUUUCUCUGAGUUUCUCCCGGCUCUGGUGAAUUGCAAUUCUGUUCCUAAAUCAAAUCUGGUUCAAAGGAACUUUGGUUGGAAAGAGAAGAAAAACCAUUUUCACUGAAACCUCGUUCAUCAGUUCCAUAAGUAUAACACCUGCUCAGAAACCUUCAUUAUCAGUUCAUUCUUCACAGUAAAUAAGCGAAAGUUUUAUUUUCCAAGACAACAUAUAUUUUGGUAAAGAGUAAAACUACAUUACUUUAAAAACAUUGGACACUUAGUCAGUUGUAUUUCAUACCUAAUUGUUGCUGUAUGUAGAUAUGUAUUUUCAGAGUG